UGGGUUAAGUCCCGCAACGAGCGCAACCCUUAAGCUUAGUUGCCAUCAUUAAGUUGGGCACUCUAAGUUGACUGCCGGUGACAAACCGGAGGAAGGUGGGGAUGACGUCAAAUCAUCAUGCCCCUUAUGAUUUGGGCUACACACGUGCUACAAUGGACAAUACAAAGGGCAGCGAAACCGCGAGGUCAAGCAAAUCCCAUAAAGUUGUUCUCAGUUCGGAUUGUAGUCUGCAACUCGACUACAUGAAGCUGGAAUCGCUAGUAAUCGUAGAUCAGCAUGCUACGGUGAAUACGUUCCCGGGUCUUGUACACACCGCCCGUCACACCACGAGAGUUUGUAACACCCGAAGCCGGUGGAGUAACCUUUUAGGAGCUAGCCGUCGAAGGUGGGACAAAUGAUUGGGGUGAAGUCGUAACAAGGUAGCCGUAUCGGAAGGUGCGGCUGGAUCACCUCCUUU
Molecule: ribosomal RNA, 457 nt
Filed under: Staphylococcus aureus
Lineage: Bacteria; Bacillati; Bacillota; Bacilli; Caryophanales; Staphylococcaceae
Description: bacterial SSU rRNA
Rfam family: Bacterial small subunit ribosomal RNA
Source: RNAcentral